ACACGUAGGGGGCGAGCGUUGUCCGGAAUUACUGGGCGUAAAGGGCGCGUAGGCGGCGAUUUAAGUCUGAUGUGAAACCCCCGGGCUUAACCCUGGGCUUGCAUUAGAAACUGAAUGGCUUGAGGGCAGGAGAGGAAAGCGGAAUUCCCAGUGUAGCGGUGAAAUGCGUAGAUAUUGGGAGGAACACCAGUGGCGAAGGCGGCUUUCUGGACUGCCCCUGACGCUGAGGCGCGAAAGCCAGGGUAGCGAACGGGACUAGAUACCCCGGUAGUCCUGGCCGUAAACGAUGGAUACUAGGUGUGGGAGGUAUCGACCCCUUCCGUGCCGCAGCCAACGCACUAAGUAUCCCGCCUGGGGAGUACGGCCGCAAGGCUGAA
This 377-nucleotide ribosomal RNA is filed under the name uncultured bacterium. Its description in RNAcentral is "bacterial SSU rRNA". It matches the Rfam family "Bacterial small subunit ribosomal RNA", at positions 523 to 898 of the family's 1533-position model. The record is from RNAcentral.